This 444-nucleotide ribosomal RNA is filed under the name uncultured bacterium. Its description in RNAcentral is "partial 16S ribosomal RNA". It matches the Rfam family "Bacterial small subunit ribosomal RNA", at positions 338 to 795 of the family's 1533-position model. The record is from RNAcentral.
CCUACGGGUGGCAGCAGUGGGGAAUAUUGGGCAAUGGAGGAAACUCUGACCCAGCAAUGCCGCGUGAAUGAAGAAGGUCUUCGGAUUGUAAAGUUCUUUAGUCAGGGAAGAAGUCAAUGACGGUACCUGAAGAAUAAGAUCCGGCUAACUACGUGCCGGCAGCCGCGGUAAUACGUAGGGAGCAAGCGUUGUUCGGAAUGACUGGGCGUAAAGGGUGCGUAGGCGGUUGUACAAGUUAGAAGUGAAAUACCCAGGGCUUAACUCGGGUGCUGCUUCUAAAACUGUAUGACUUGAGUGUAGGAGAGGUUAGUGGAAUGCCUAGUGUAGCGGUGGAAUGCGUAGAUAUUAGGAGGAACACCAGAUGCGAAGGCGGCUAACUGGACUGCAACUGACGCUGAGGCACGAAAGUGUGGGGAGCAAACAGGAUUAGAUACCCUGGUAGUC